This 900-nucleotide ribosomal RNA is filed under the name uncultured archaeon. RNAcentral describes it as "bacterial SSU rRNA". It matches the Rfam family "Archaeal small subunit ribosomal RNA", at positions 455 to 1354 of the family's 1478-position model. The record is from RNAcentral.
GUGGCAGCCGCCGCGGUAAAACCAGCACCUCAAGUGGUCAGGAUGAUUAUUGGGCCUAAAGCAUCCGUAGCCUGCUCUGUAAGUUUUCGGUUAAAUCUGUACGCUUAACGUACAGGCCGCCGGAAAUACUGCAGAGCUAGGGAGUGGGAGAGGUAGACGGUACUCGGGAGGAAGUGGUAAAAUGCUUUGAUCUCUCGAUGACCACCUGUGGCGAAGGCGGUCUACCAGAACACGUCCGACGGUGAGGGAUGAAAGCUGGGGGAGCAAACCGGAUUAGAUACCCGGGUAGUCCCAGCUGUAAACUAUGCAAACUCAGUGAUGCAUUGGCUUGUGGCCAAUGCAGUGUUGCAGGGAAGCCGUUAAGUUUGCCGCCUGGGAAGUACGUACGCAAGUAUGAAACUUAAAGGAAUUGGCGGGGGAGCACCACAAGGGGUGAAGCCUGCGGUUCAAUUGGAGUCAACGCCAGAAAUCUUACCCGGAGAGACAGCAGAAUGAAGGUCAAGCUGAAGACUUUACCAGACAAGCUGAGAGGUGGUGCAUGGCCGUCGCCAGCUCGUGCCGUGAGAUGUCCUGUUAAGUCAGGUAACGAGCGAGAUCCCUGCCUCUAGUUGCCACCAUUACUCUCAGGAGUAGUGGGGCGAAUUAGCGGGACCGCCGCAGUUAAUGCGGAGGAAGGAAGGGGCCACGGCAGGUCAGUAUGCCCCGAAACUCUGGGGCCACACGCGGGCUGCAAUGGUAAUGACAAUAGGUUCCGAACCCGAAAGGAAGAGGUAAUCCAUAAACAUUACCACAGUUAUGACUGAGGGCUGCAACUCGCCCUCACGAAUAUGGAAUCCCUAGUAACUGCGUGUCAUUAUCGCGCGGUGAAUACGUCCCUGCUCCUUGCACACACCGCCCGUC